RNAcentral lists this ribosomal RNA (492 nucleotides) under uncultured bacterium. RNAcentral's name for it is "bacterial SSU rRNA". It matches the Rfam family "Bacterial small subunit ribosomal RNA", at positions 30 to 518 of the family's 1533-position model. The record is from RNAcentral.
AUUGAACGCUGGCGGAAUGCUCUACACAUGCAAGUCGAACGGCAGCACGGGGCAACCUGGUGGCGAGUGGCGAACGGGUGAGUAAUACAUCGGAACGUGCCCAAUCGUGGGGGAUAACGUAGCGAAAGUUACGCUAAUACCGCAUACGAUCUACGGAUGAAAGCGGGGGAUCGCAAGACCUCGCGCGAGUGGAGCGGCCGAUGUCAGAUUAGGUAGUUGGUGGGGUAAAGGCUCACCAAGCCAACGAUCUGUAGCUGGUCUGAGAGGACGACCAGCCACACUGGAACUGAGACACGGUCCAGACUCCUACGGGAGGCAGCAGUGGGGAAUUUUGGACAAUGGGCGCAAGCCUGAUCCAGCCAUUCCGCGUGCAGGAUGAAGGCCUUCGGUUGUAAACUGCUUUGUACGGAGCGAAACGGCGAGCUCUAAUACAGUUUGUCUAAUGACGGUACCGUAAGAAUAAGCACCGGCUAACUACGUGCCAGCAGCCGC